Molecule: ribosomal RNA, 475 nt
Filed under: uncultured bacterium
Lineage: Bacteria
Description: SSU rRNA
Rfam family: Bacterial small subunit ribosomal RNA
Source: RNAcentral
AGAAUCAACGCUGGCGGCGUGCCUAACACAUGCAAGUCGAACGAGAAAGUGGAGCAAUCCAUGAGUAAAGUGGCGACCGGGUGAGUAACACGUGACUAACCUACCUUCGAGUGGGGGAUAACCUCGGGAAACCGGGGCUAAUACCGCAUAAAAUCUUUGGAUCGGAAGAACUGGAGAUCAAUGGAGCAAUUCGCUUGAAGAGGGGGUCGCGGCUGAUUAGCUAGUUGGCGGGGUAAUGGCCCACCAAGGCUUUGAUCGGUAGCCGGCCUGAGAGGGCGCACGGCCACACUGGAACUGAAACACGGUCCAGACUCCUACGGGAGGCAGCAGUGGGGAAUUUUGCGCAAUGGGGGAAACCCUGACGCAGCAACGCCGCGUGGAGGAUGAAGUCCCUUGGGACGUAAACUCCUUUCGACCGGGACGAUUAUGACGGUACCGGUGGAAGAAGCCCGGCUAACUUCGUGCCAGCAGCCGC